UUCACGUGAAAGAAAUGUGAAGGCCGAGAGUCACAGCUGACAGCGAGCCAGCAAGCCACCGAGGUUCAGGUGGCUUCCGCUAUGCCAUCCACCGUAGUUCUUAUUGGUCCAAGAUGUCUGUGGGACUGUCGCCACCACACUGGUGUUCUGAGUAGCCGGGAAGUGGGGAUGGCAUGAAGACGAGGCAUGCCCACUCCAGAAGGAUGUCUGUUUGCUUCUCAAUCCAAUUGGCUGCAAAUUGGAUGUCACACUUAGCUGCCGUGGAAGCUGGGAAAUAGUUCAUAUUUUUAGCCCCCAGUAGGGAUUUUGUUACUAAAGGGAAAGAGACAUGCUGGGCUAGGUGCCCAGCAAUCUGCCAAACUUGGGGAACUGACAGAGCUGGGCCCCGUGUGGUCUAGAGGGUUGGGUGUGCCUCCCUGAAGAAAAGAUGGUUCAACAAGGCCAGAACAGGAAUUUUGGAGAAAGUGAGUGACUUCCUCGGAUGAUGGGGAAGGAGGAGUCGGAAUCAACUUGGAACAAGGGGAGAUCUGGGGGAAAUGGCUCUUCAUGGGUGUUCUAGUGCUGGGGAACAGGCUCCUAGCAGAAACAGAAUACCUGUCUGCCUGCCCUCUGAGCCAGGGCUCCUUUCAGUCGCUGCUGAGAGCCUGGUCAGCACCAGAGGAACCGUCUUUGACCUGACCUCUAGCACAGGUGCAUUUGUGGUGAUAAGACCAAGUGUGUACAGGGACACUAUCUUCAGACUCAGACCUGGACCAGAUAUUGCUCCACCUGAGAGUGGGGAGGCCUGGCCCAGACCUUGCUGGGAAGGAAAAGCCACUCAGCAAAUACCUACUCAGAUGUGAGGAGCACAGAGGAGGGUCUCACCCCAGGAUGCUCCACUGGCAGAGAAGACGUGUUGCUGAGCUUGGGGGAACUGCCUCCCAGGAAUCUGGAAGCACAAGACCUCUCCGCUCCUUCUUCAGCACCAUGUCUGCUUC
Molecule: long non-coding RNA, 977 nt
Organism: Mus caroli (Ryukyu mouse)
Lineage: Eukaryota; Metazoa; Chordata; Mammalia; Rodentia; Muridae
Source: RefSeq, a predicted model, not a curated record